Molecule: long non-coding RNA, 1876 nt
Organism: Malus domestica (apple)
Lineage: Eukaryota; Viridiplantae; Streptophyta; Magnoliopsida; Rosales; Rosaceae
Source: RefSeq, a predicted model, not a curated record
UUCACUUCUGAUCCAUUGAUUCGAUCGAACUUGAAGCGCAGCCUUCCUCACCGAGCCCUCAUCUCAUCUCUGUGUCGAAUUCCGGCCAGCCACCGGCCCACCACCACACCAUACUAUCUCCUCUGACUCUCCAACCUUCCUUCACCACACAGCCACCGCCACGCCACCGCUCUCUCUCUCGCGAUCUCUCUCUCUCGGGUGAUUUGCUCUCACAUCACAUAACUCUCGAUCCAGCACCAGCAUCAAAUAGUGCAGCUACAGUUCUAUAUUUAUUUUUUGGGCUGAGGUUACUUUACAUUGCUUGGAGAUCAUCAGAUUCUAAAUCUUCCCAGAAGAAAGAAAUUGAAGAAGCUCAUUGGUUUUCCCUUGAGUUAGCCAUGAAAGUACUAGGCAUUUACGAGAAGUGGGGAUAAUCUCAGAAUUCAGAGUUGUUCUGAAUUGACUGCCUGCAUUAUUCCUGAUGUCUGAUCACUUUUUAUAUCCUUUUGUCUUCAUCGCGUUUAUGAGCUUACAACAUGAAUUUUGUCCCUUUGCCAGUCUAUUUUGUUAUUUUUGCUGUCUAAAUUUGUUUCCAUGGUGUUGUAACUUGUAACUAAAAGGUUCAGAUACUGCAAAAGUGUGAUUUCUUAUUAUCGAUGUGAUCAAGAUUUAAGUUGUUCUGUGUGUCAAUUAGGUACUUUCCACUGGACUUGGUAGGAUUGUGUCAAACUUGAUAUCACGGAAGCAUACGAAUAGUGCAGCUACAUUAGCUACCAAUUCUUUUUGUUACUUGACCACUAAGAAAUUUUAUGAGAAUUGGAUUUCCAUAUAUUUGUUUUGGCUAUAGAAUCUUAGAUACAUGGUCUUGCUUUAAUGUUUGAUAGCAAAUCAAGUUUUGUGGUUCUGUUUUUGUUUCUCAUACCAUAUGACUCUCUAAUUGUAAACUACUGGAUGGCUACAUAUGUGUACAUGUGAAAUGUAUACUUUCACAACAGUAAACACAAAAGAAAGUAAGCAAGGAAGUGUUAGACUAUGAUGAACUGUCAUUCUGUAGGAUUUAUUAUAGACACCAUUAGUAGAAUCAUAGAUCAGAUUAUUGAGGUAUCACAUUUUAUGCUGUACACAAGGUCAGGGAGACCAUGCUAUAAACUAGGACUAGACAGCAUAAUAUGUCAAAUUUUAGUCCAAAAGCCCAAAACCAUUUCGGGAUUCUCGAUUUGUCCCGAAAUCCUGAAACUAUUUUGGGAUUCCCGAAAAUUGGGAUUCCUGAAAAUUUGGUUUGGGAUCGGUAUUGAAAUUGGGAUUCCCGAAAAUUUCGGUUUGGGAAUCGGGACAAGGGUUUCUGUAUGGGAUCCCAUACCGAACCACCCCUAGUUUCUGCAGUGGUGAUUCUGGGUUUUUGGGGGAAAGGGUUAGAGGGAGUUUCAAUAACAAGCUUUGGGCUAAUCAGUUGAGAACUGACAAGAGGAAGGUGAUACCUGGAGCUGUUCUUGUUGUUCUUACCUCAAAAGAUGCCGAGGCUGUCGUAAGUUAAUCCUUUCUUAUGUUCGAUUGCCCAUUUGAUAAUUAUUUAGAUGAAUAAGUAAUUUGUAUGAUCAUUGCUAUUUGUGUAUGUUAAUAUUUGUUAUUUCGUUAACUUUAUAUGUAUGAUGAAUUAUGAAAAAUAUUUUCUUAAUCAUGGGUUCGGUCUCAGACUCUGCAAAUGCCAUCGUUACCUAGGCGGAGAGUAGACCUGAAAAAUGUAGCUUCGAUUAUAUUAAGACGAGGAAGAAGAAGUUGCACAUGUCAAAGUACAAUUUUACUCAUGUAUUAACAGAUAGUUAACGAAAAAAUCAUUUUUGGACUAAAUUUGCUAAUGGAGUACACCACAAGGGUUUAAAUCCGAGUUUUUUUAGCA